This 461-nucleotide long non-coding RNA is filed under the name Equus caballus (horse). RNAcentral describes it as "lncRNA (ENSECAG00000043952.1)". Lineage: Eukaryota; Metazoa; Chordata; Mammalia; Perissodactyla; Equidae. The record is from RNAcentral.
UCCACUUUUUAAAGCUCUGGUGAACCAUCUUGAACACGUCUCCUUAGUCGCCUGUCUAGAUCUUCUCUCUCUGAGUGUUUUGACUCAAAUACGUCAAGAAAUUUCAACUUUUCACUUAAAGGGAGCGCCUUACGGCUUCUCUUUGGCAUAUCCAAAUUGCCAGCAGCACUGCUCUUGCACUUUGGGGCCAUUAAGUGAAACAGGGGUACCUGAACACAAGCCCUGUGAUACCUCGACAGUCGAUCUGAUAACUGAGAGGGCCACUAAGUGACUACGGGCUGGGAGCACGUACAAGUUUAGGAAGCACUUUGAUGUUGCCUCCUCUGAACCAGUCCUCGUCCCUGCUCGGUGAGUAGGCUUGACCAGCCCCAUUUGUCAGAACUAUGUUGAACAGUUGUGGUAAGAAUGGACAUCUUGGGGCCAACCCUGUGGCCAAGUGGUUAAGUUCGCGUGCUCUGCUU